Notechis scutatus (mainland tiger snake) is the source of this 200-nucleotide non-coding RNA. NCBI's taxonomy places the organism in Eukaryota, Metazoa, Chordata, Lepidosauria, Squamata, Elapidae. The record is from RefSeq and is a predicted model, not a curated record.
UUGUUGGUUACUAGUUGUUCCAGUCCCAGAUUUGUUACAGCAUUGUAGGAGGUUGCAUGUAUGGAUUCAGUUUUACAUUUGUUAAGGGUCCAGUUAAUAUGAGGUAGAUUGAAGUCACCCAGGAAGAUAAAAGUGUGCAGGGAGGAUGUUGCCCAUGUUAGUAGUGAAUUUAGCUUGUUUACAUUUCUCAUGGAUGGCUG